RNAcentral lists this ribosomal RNA (254 nucleotides) under uncultured bacterium. RNAcentral's name for it is "partial 16S ribosomal RNA". It matches the Rfam family "Bacterial small subunit ribosomal RNA", at positions 524 to 776 of the family's 1533-position model. The record is from RNAcentral.
GACGUAGGGCGCGAGCGUCGUCCGGAAUUAUUGGGCGUAAAGAGCUCGUAGGCGGCUUGUUGCGUCGACUGUGAAAACCCGUGGCUCAACCAUGUGGUCUGCAGUCGAUACGGGCAGGCUAGAAUUCGGUAGGGGAGACUGGAAUUCCUGGUGUAGCGGUGAAAUGCGCAGAUAUCAGGAGGAACACCGGUGGCGAAGGCGGGUCUCUGGGCCGAUAUUGACGCUGAGGAGCGAAAGCGUGGGGAGCGAACAGG